Oncorhynchus masou masou (cherry salmon) is the source of this 248-nucleotide long non-coding RNA. RefSeq lists it as uncharacterized. Lineage: Eukaryota; Metazoa; Chordata; Actinopteri; Salmoniformes; Salmonidae. The record is from RefSeq and is a predicted model, not a curated record. The transcript is spliced from 3 exons.
GCAAGGAGGGAUACAGGUACGGUCUGGAGUGUCUGUUCAGGUACUAUAGCUACGGACUAGAGAGGAAAUUCAGACCAGACAUCUUCAAAGACUUCCAGGAGGAGACCAUGAAAGACUACGAAGCUGGCCAGCUGUAUGGACUAGAGAAGUUUUGGGCGUUUCUUAAAUACUCCAAAAACAAGAACAUGGAGAUCGACCCCAAGCUGCAGGAGUGCCUGAGCAAGUUCAAGCGUCUUGAAGAUUUCAGA